CGCAUUUUCAACCACUCACAAGGCACACUCCAGUUUAACCACAGCCACUACAAAGCUGGGGUGUGGUGCCAAGCCCUUGCUGUGGAGUGAGUCUGGCGCCCGGUGGGCACUUAGCAUAGCUUUGUUGUUCAGGUAUCCCCAGUGACCUGCACUGUUCCUCACACACUGUCCUGUCUGGACAUGCGCUCCUCUCUACGCUGGCUGCGGAAGCACAAAGAAUUGUACACCCCUUCCAAAGUAGACCUGCCAGAGAAUGUAAAACAUCUUUUAUUGCUUGGGUUAUUCUAUUUCUAUCAGAUCAUGUAGCUGACAGUCCAUCAUUUCUGUGCAAAUUUGUCUGGUUGGAUUUUUAGAUUCCAUUGUAGAGUCUUCUAUUAAUCCCCACGCGUUCCUGUUUCUUGGAUCUGACAUGUCAUUCCAGUCAGGCAGUGGGAUCUUUUGGAAUUUUGAUGUCACGUGUUUGUAGCCCCCUUUAGCUUCGCACUCUCCACA
Molecule: long non-coding RNA, 492 nt
Filed under: Oryctolagus cuniculus (rabbit)
Lineage: Eukaryota; Metazoa; Chordata; Mammalia; Lagomorpha; Leporidae
Description: lncRNA (ENSOCUG00000035989.1)
Source: RNAcentral